Molecule: long non-coding RNA, 369 nt
Filed under: Salarias fasciatus (jewelled blenny)
Lineage: Eukaryota; Metazoa; Chordata; Actinopteri; Blenniiformes; Blenniidae
Description: lncRNA (ENSSFAG00005007659.1)
Source: RNAcentral
AUGUUACAUUUGGUUUUGUCACGGACAGCAAACAUUAACAUCUCUCAAUUUCCUGAAGAGGCAGACGACACCUCUGAAGCCACAACAGCCACGACCAUCCCAAACACCCCAACACACACUCUGCAAGGAUCACACUUUGCAAAUUUGAUCACACUGUUAGUUCCUGUCACUUUUGGGUUGGUCACUGCCACCAUACUUGGACUGUUCUUUUACUGCAGACAACGAAGGAGGACAGUCCCAAAACAGCAUCAGAUUGCAGGCAUAAGCAUAGAGUUUUUGGAGAAUUACUUAAAUUUGAUUCCAUCACAUUCACAGGUGCUGACUACUACACCAGUGUGAAACAAUAACUCAAGCUUCCUGUUACUCAGG